Molecule: ribosomal RNA, 774 nt
Filed under: uncultured Neocallimastigales
Lineage: Eukaryota; Fungi; Neocallimastigomycota; Neocallimastigomycetes; Neocallimastigales
Description: partial large subunit ribosomal RNA
Rfam family: Eukaryotic large subunit ribosomal RNA
Source: RNAcentral
UAUCUCUGUAGAGUCUGCAUAUCAAUAAGCGGAGGAAAAGAAACUAACAAGGAUUCCCCUAGUAACGGCGAGUGAAGCGGGAAGAGCUCAAAUUUGAAAUCUUCAAGGUUUGACCUUGACGAAUUGUAGUUUAAAGAAGUGUUUUCGGUUAGAGGAGUAGUAAAAGUUCUUUGGAAUAGGACAUCAUAGAGGGUGAGAAUCCCGUAUUUGACUAUUCUUUCUAGCUUUGUGAUACACUUUCAAAGAGUCGGAUUGUUUGGGAAUGCAGUCCAAAAUGGGUGGUAAAUUUCAUCUAAAGCUAAAUAUUGGCGAGAGACCGAUAGCGAACAAGUACCGUGAGGGAAAGAUGAAAAGAACUUUGAAAAGAGAGUUAAACAGUACGUGAAAUCGUCAAAAGGGAAGCGUUUGACACCAGUGUUGUUUUUCCGAAAAUCAAUUAAAAGUUGAUUCAUGCCAGGUUGUAUUGACCUUAUCAGCUUGCAAUUUGGUUUUGGGUCUCUUUUUGAUGCACUUUUCGGUUAACAAGUCAACAUCAAUUUCCUUUGCUGUAAAAAGGUAAGAGGAAGGUGGCUUCAAUUUCGGUUGAAGUGUUUAUAGCCUUUUAUCUCUGCAGUCGGGGAGAUUGAGGUCUGCAGCGUAGAUCCUUCGGGGCUAGAUACAUUUAUGCUAAGUUAUAGCUUUUCAUAGACAACUUGUUGACUAUGUUUAGUCAUGUAGCUUACUCGUAAGUGCUAUUUUACCUACGCUUAGGAUGUUGAAGACUCUACAGAGAUA